This 419-nucleotide ribosomal RNA is filed under the name uncultured bacterium. RNAcentral's name for it is "bacterial SSU rRNA". It matches the Rfam family "Bacterial small subunit ribosomal RNA", at positions 28 to 409 of the family's 1533-position model. The record is from RNAcentral.
GAUGAACGCUGGCGGCGUGCCUAAUACAUGCAAGUCGAACGCAUUGUGGUUGAAAUGAUAUGAAGAACUUGUUCAGAUUUGAUUUUCAACAUUGCAAUGAGUGGCGAACGGGUGAGUAACACGUGGGAAACCUACCUCUUAGCAGGGGAUAACAUUUGGAAACAAAUGCUAAUACCGUAUAAUAAUUAAAACCGCAUGGUUUUAGUUUAAAAGAUGGUCUUGCUAUCACUAAGAGAUGGUCCCGCGGUGUAUUAGUUAGUUGGUGAGGUAAUGGCUCACCAAGACAAUGAUACAUAGCCGAGUUGAGAGACUGACGGCCACAAUGGGACUGAGACACGGCCCAUACUCCUACGGGAGGCAGCAGUAGGGAAUCUUCCACAAUGGACGAAAGUCUGAUGGAGCAACGCCGCGUGUGUGAU